UGCGNNCUUUNCAUGCAAGUCGAACGGUAACGCGGGCUUCGGCCUGGCGACGAGUGGCGAACGGGUGAGUACAACAUCGGAACGUAUCCUUUAGUGGGGGAUAGCCCGGCGAAAGCCGGAUUAAUACCGCAUAAUCUCUGAGGAGCAAAGCGGGGGAUCGUAAGACCUCGCGCUAUUGGAGCGGCCGAUGCCGGAUUAGCUAGUUGGUAGGGUAAAGGCCUACCAAGGCGACGAUCCGUAGCUGGUCUGAGAGGAUGAUCAGCCACACUGGAACUGAGACACGGUCCAGACUCCUACGGGAGGCAGCAGUGGGGAAUUUUGGACAAUGGGGGCAACCCUGAUCCAGCCAUGCCGCGUGCGGGAAGAAGGCCUUCGGGUUGUAAACCGCUUUCGGACGGAACGAAAUGGUUGAGGCUAAUACCCUCAAUUGAUGACGGUACCGUAAGAAGAAGCACCGGCUAACUACGUGCCAGCAGCCGCGGUAAUACGUAGGGUGCGAGCGUUAAUCGGAAUUACUGGGCGUAAAGCGUGCGCAGGCGGCUCCUUAAGACAGGUGUGAAAUCCCCGGGCUUAACCUGGGAAUGGCGCUUGUGACUGUGGAGCUGGAGUGCGGCAGAGGGGGAUGGAAUUCCUGGUGUAGCAGUGAAAUGCGUAGAUAUCAGGAGGAACACCGAUGGCGAAGGCAGUCCCCUGGGUCGACACUGACGCUCAUGCACGAAAGCGUAGGGAGCAAACAGGAUUAGAUACCCUGGUAGUCCACGCCGUAAACGAUGUGAACUANAGGUAGGAGGUGUUGAUCCCUUCUGUCUCGCAGCUAACGCAUUAAGUUCACCGCCUGGGGAGUACGGU
Molecule: ribosomal RNA, 849 nt
Filed under: uncultured bacterium
Lineage: Bacteria
Description: bacterial SSU rRNA
Rfam family: Bacterial small subunit ribosomal RNA
Source: RNAcentral